CAACGAGAACACAUUGUUCAAUAUGUAAACUUUCUGCAAGGUUUCUCUAUCACUUAGAAUGCAAAUUUUAGGACAAUACAAUAAAGGACAACAUAAGGAUUUGGUAUAAUAAUACAAUUAUUUUUUAGAUUUUUAUUUAUAAAACUCAAAAGUUUAGUUAUCUAUUCAAACAAGAUAUAAAAAGAAUCCCACGUUCAAGGUAUUACUCAGUAAAUACAUAUAUAUCUUAACUUAAAAUUGACUAUUCUAGCUUAAAUCAAAUUAAAUUUUUUGGAUCCUUUUAUUCGCUAGGAGCUGAAUAAGAAGAAACUCUCACGUCCGAUUUUGUAAUAGAGAUGAAAUUCAGAAACAACCAUCAACUAUAACCCAUAGUAAGUACAAAACAAAAGAAAAGAACAAAGGUGAAAUUAACUUGACCUCCCAAAGAUUUCUUUUUCCUCGAAAAUCAAAACAAAGCUUAGAUAUUGAAAAAAAAAAGUAGUUCAAAAGAUUCGCAUUUAUUCAAUAUAAAAAAUGAAGCCAAGCAUCAGACUUGCCUAAGAUUUGCAUUUAUUCAAUUCAUCCUUUUUCCCUUGUUCUUGUUCUUGUUUUUGUUUUUGCGCCUUUCUUUUCCACUCCUAUCAAAACAAGUAUAAUUAUCCCCUCGUAACAUUGCCAUUUAUUUCUUGAAAUCCCCCAAAUAAAGAAGGGAGGAAAAAGAAAACAAUAUUAAAAAUGAAGAAGAAGAGGAGGAGGAGGUAAGUGUUAGGAAGAAAAACGGUGGAAUAUUUAUAAGGGAAAUGGAUAAAUCACUUAGUUCAUAGGUGAGAA
RNAcentral lists this long non-coding RNA (810 nucleotides) under Nicotiana benthamiana. Its description in RNAcentral is "long non-coding RNA (NBEN_LNC038409)". The record is from RNAcentral. Lineage: Eukaryota; Viridiplantae; Streptophyta; Magnoliopsida; Solanales; Solanaceae.